This 454-nucleotide ribosomal RNA is filed under the name uncultured bacterium. RNAcentral describes it as "bacterial SSU rRNA". It matches the Rfam family "Bacterial small subunit ribosomal RNA", at positions 340 to 786 of the family's 1533-position model. The record is from RNAcentral.
UACGGGAGGCAGCAGUGGGGAAUAUUGCACAAUGGGCGCAAGCCUGAUGCAGCCAUGCCGCGUGUAUGAAGAAGGCCUUCGGGUUGUAAAGUACUUUCAGUCGUGAGGAAGGUGUUAAGGUUAAUAACCUUAGCAAUUGACGUUAGCGACAGAAGAAGCACCGGCUAACUCCGUGCCAGCAGCCGCGGUAAUACGGAGGGUGCGAGCGUUAAUCGGAAUUACUGGGCGUAAAGGGCACGCAGGCGGUUAAUUAAGUUGGAUGUGAAAUCCCCGGGCUUAACCUGGGAAUGGCAUUCAAGACUGGUUAGCUAGAGUCUUGUAGAGGGGGUGAAUUCCAUGUGUAGCGGUGAAAUGCGUAGAGAUGUGGAGGAAUACCGGUGGCGAAGGCGGCCCCUGGGACAAAGACUGACGCUCAUGUGCGAAAGCGUGGGGAGCGAAACAGGGAUUAGAUACC